This 502-nucleotide ribosomal RNA is filed under the name uncultured bacterium. Its description in RNAcentral is "bacterial SSU rRNA". It matches the Rfam family "Bacterial small subunit ribosomal RNA", at positions 29 to 523 of the family's 1533-position model. The record is from RNAcentral.
AACGAACGCUGGCGGCGCGCCUAAUACAUGCAAGUCGAGCGAGAAGGUGUAGCAAUACACUUGUAAAGCGGCGAACGGGUGAGGAAUGCAUGGGUAACCUACCCUCGAGUGGGGAAUAACUAGCCGAAAGGUUAGCUAAUACCGCAUACGUUUCCGGAACUUCGGUUUCGGAAAGAAAGCAAUACCGUGGGUAUUGCGCUCCUGGAUGGGCUCAUGUCCUAUCAGCUUGUUGGUGAGGUAACGGCUCACCAAGGCUUCGACGGGUAGCUGGUCUGAGAGGACGAUCAGCCACACUGGCACUGCGACACGGGCCAGACUCCUACGGGAGGCAGCAGUAAGGAAUAUUGCGCAAUGGACGAAAGUCUGACGCAGCGACGCCGCGUGGGGGGAUGAAGGUCUUCGGAUUGUAAACCCCUUUCGGGAGGGAAGAUGGAGUGGGUAACCACUUGGACGGUACCUCCAGAAGCAGCCACGGCUAACUUCGUGCCAGCAGCCGCGGUAA